GCAUUGGUGGUUCAGUGGUAGAACUUUCACCUUUCAUGCAGCGGACUUGGGUUUGAUUCCCAGCCAAUGCA
Molecule: transfer RNA, 71 nt
Filed under: Loxodonta africana (African savanna elephant)
Lineage: Eukaryota; Metazoa; Chordata; Mammalia; Proboscidea; Elephantidae
Rfam family: tRNA
About the family: Transfer RNA (tRNA) molecules are approximately 80 nucleotides in length. Their secondary structure includes four short double-helical elements and three loops (D, anti-codon, and T loops).
Source: Rfam by way of RNAcentral